AUUGAACGCUGGCGGCAGGCCUAACACAUGCAAGUCGAACGGUAGCACAGAGAGCUUGCUCUCGGGUGACGAGUGGCGGACGGGUGAGUAAUGUCUGGGAAACUGCCUGAUGGAGGGGGAUAACUACUGGAAACGGUAGCUAAUACCGCAUAACGUCGCAAGACCAAAGAGGGGGACCUUCGGGCCUCUUGCCAUCAGAUGUGCCCAGAUGGGAUUAGCUAGUAGGUGGGGUAACGGCUCACCUAGGCGACGAUCCCUAGCUGGUCUGAGAGGAUGACCAGCCACACUGGAACUGAGACGCGGUCCAGACUCCUACGGGAGGCAGCAGUGGGGAAUAUUGCACAAUGGGCGCAAGCCUGAUGCAGCCAUGCCGCGUGUAUGAAGAAGGCCUUCGGGUUGUAAAGUACUUUCAGCGGGGAGGAAGGUGUUGUGGUUAAUAACCACAGCAAUUGACGUACC
This 459-nucleotide ribosomal RNA is filed under the name uncultured bacterium. Its description in RNAcentral is "bacterial SSU rRNA". It matches the Rfam family "Bacterial small subunit ribosomal RNA", at positions 30 to 479 of the family's 1533-position model. The record is from RNAcentral.